GCGGGUUUAGCUCAGUUGGGAGAGCGUCAGACUGAAGUAACACUUCAAUUCCGCAUCCGAGGUUCUGCCUUGGCUUGCAAUCUGAAGGUCAUGUGUUCGAUCCACAUAAACCGCA
Podospora conica is the source of this 115-nucleotide non-coding RNA. NCBI's taxonomy places the organism in Eukaryota, Fungi, Ascomycota, Sordariomycetes, Sordariales, Podosporaceae. The record is from the annotation of a GenBank genome assembly.